GCUCACUGGUGAUGUUAUUAUAAAUUUCAAAUACCACCCCCAUUGUUUCGCACAUUUUUACUUUAGUAUCUUGUAAUUUAAAAUGUAUUAAAUUGAUGUUCUAUGGUUUCACUUUCAUUUUUUUAUCAGCUUUUUCGUUAAUAUUUCAUUAAAUUAUAUACAGAAAACUUCAGAUAUCACAUCUAGGUUUAUCUAAUAUUCACUUUAGUACCCUUUAGUUUUAACUUUGUCACUAAUUUAAUAAAAAAAAAUUAGUAAAAUUAAUAAUAAAAAGAUAAAAAUGAAACCACAUGGUAUUAAAUUGAUAUAUUUUAAAUCACAAAAUACUAAAGUGAGAAAGUAUGAAACCAGAGGGAUGGUAUUUAAAGUUUUUCUUAUAUUUAAUGGACUGUGUGUAUAGAUCGUGGGCCAUGGAGAAAUAAUGCCCAUGAUUCUCUUCUUUGCUAAGUGGAUUUUAUGAGGAUAAUCUCAAUCUCCGCAAGAUUAUUUGAUCUGAUUAGAUUUAAUAUUUUCGAGAUUUUCCCAAUUUCAGAUGCUUCCGAGUUCAUAAACACCUCAAAACACGGAAUGCAAGUAUGACAAGACAUUUUUAGAUACACGUACAUGUGAAUUGUAAGCACAAACCUACUAUUCUAAAAAUACGUACAGAUAGAAAGGACGCAUCCAUCACAUUUAAAAACUUAAUUGUAGCGCUCACAGACUUGAACCUGACUCAAUUCAUUCAAACGUUAGGUCUAUUGUUGGACCUCUUAUCGUUAGAUUUAUUGUGAAUCGUAAUUCCAUUCAACCUAUUGAGUUCACCCAACUCAACUUAUUAUAGUCUUUUGUACCUGUUAACACGGGAUAAAAAAUUAAAUUUAUUUUAGCUAAAAUUUAAGAGCCAAUAAUAUAGAGAUUCGAAAUUCUGAAUUUUUUUUUUUUUUUUUUUUUUGAAAAAAGCAGUAGAUAUAUAAAAAAAAUGUUUGAUAAGAUUAUUAGACUAAUU
Molecule: long non-coding RNA, 985 nt
Filed under: Ananas comosus (pineapple)
Lineage: Eukaryota; Viridiplantae; Streptophyta; Magnoliopsida; Poales; Bromeliaceae
Description: long non-coding RNA (ACOM_LNC024781)
Source: RNAcentral